GAGUUUGAUCCUGGCUCAGAUUGAACGCUGGCGGCAGGCCUAACACAUGCAAGUCGAACGGUAACAGGAAGAAGCUUGCUUCUUUGCUGACGAGUGGCGGACGGGUGAGUAAUGUCUGGGAAACUGCCUGAUGGAGGGGGAUAACUACUGGAAACGGUAGCUAAUACCGCAUAACGUCGCAAGACCAAAGAGGGGGACCUUCGGGCCUCUUGCCAUCGGAUGUGCCCAGAUGGGAUUAGCUAGUAGGUGGGGUAACGGCUCACCUAGGCGACGAUCCCUAGCUGGUCUGAGAGGAUGACCAGCCACACUGGAACUGAGACACGGUCCAGACUCCUACGGGAGGCAGCAGUGGGGAAUAUUGCACAAUGGGCGCAAGCCUGAUGCAGCCAUGCCGCGUGUAUGAAGAAGGCCUUCGGGUUGUAAAGUACUUUCAGCGGGGAGGAAGGGAGUAAAGUUAAUACCUUUGCUCAUUGACGUUACCCGCAGAAGAAGCACCGGCUAAC
Molecule: ribosomal RNA, 503 nt
Filed under: uncultured bacterium
Lineage: Bacteria
Description: bacterial SSU rRNA
Rfam family: Bacterial small subunit ribosomal RNA
Source: RNAcentral